GGUAGUGUUGGCUGAAUGGAUAAGGCUCUUGGUUACAGCUCAGAAGGUCAGGAGUUCAAGCCCCAGCACUGUCG
This is a non-coding RNA of Pangasius djambal, 74 nucleotides long. NCBI's taxonomy places the organism in Eukaryota, Metazoa, Chordata, Actinopteri, Siluriformes, Pangasiidae. The record is from the annotation of a GenBank genome assembly.